This 99-nucleotide transfer RNA is filed under the name Candidatus Aenigmatarchaeota archaeon. RNAcentral's name for it is "tRNA-Val". Lineage: Archaea; Nanobdellati; Candidatus Aenigmatarchaeota. The record is from RNAcentral.
GGGCUCGUGGUCUAGCGGCUAUUUUCCCCGUUCGGGAAAAACGCAAAUGACGCAACCUUCACAUGGUUGAGGCCGGCGGUUCAAAUCCGCCCGGGCCCA